CCUACGGGGUGCAGCAGUGAGGAAUAUUGGUCAAUGGGCUUACGCCUGAACCAGCCAAGUCGCGUGAGGGAAGACUGCCCUAUGGGUUGUAAACCUCUUUUGUCAGGGAGCAACGCCGGCUACGUGUAGCCGGACUGAGAGUACCUGAAGAAAAAGCAUCGGCUAACUCCGUGCCAGCAGCCGCGGUCAUACGGAGGAUGCGAGCGUUAUCCGGAUUUAUUGUGUUUAAAGGGUGCGUAGGCGGAAUGCCAAGUCAGCGGUAAAAUCGCGGGGCUCAACCUCGCUCCGCCGUUGAAACUGGCGUUCUUGAGUGGGCGAGAGGUAUGCGGAAUGCGUGGUGUAGCGGUGAAAUGCAUAGAUAUCACGCAGAACUCCGAUUGCGAAGGCAGCAUACCGGCGCCCAACUGACGCUGAAGCAAGAAAGCGUGGGGAUCGAACAGGAUUAGAUACCCUAGUAGUC
RNAcentral lists this ribosomal RNA (460 nucleotides) under uncultured bacterium. RNAcentral's name for it is "partial 16S ribosomal RNA". It matches the Rfam family "Bacterial small subunit ribosomal RNA", at positions 338 to 795 of the family's 1533-position model. The record is from RNAcentral.